GAGUCCUCCUAAACUCCUCUGUGCCCGACAAUCAGGAGUGAGCUUUGCCAGUGGAAAGCCUUGGCAAGUCCUCCAGCGGUUCUGUCUGAUCACCAUGAAGGACUUGGGGAGGGGAAGUGGAGUUUUGAGGAGUGAAUCAAGGAGGAGGCUGAGAGUUUGGUGGAGGAGCUGUGGACACCUCAGGAUGAGCCCCGUGGGGACUCAAGAUGGGGACAUAGGGAGGAAGAAAUGACUGAUAAGAGACAGGGACAGGGAGAUAUAGACAGAUUCAGGGAGAGAGGGAGACAGAG
Molecule: long non-coding RNA, 290 nt
Filed under: Marmota monax (woodchuck)
Lineage: Eukaryota; Metazoa; Chordata; Mammalia; Rodentia; Sciuridae
Source: RNAcentral